Molecule: unclassified non-coding RNA, 135 nt
Filed under: Polistes dominula (European paper wasp)
Lineage: Eukaryota; Metazoa; Arthropoda; Insecta; Hymenoptera; Vespidae
Description: gATA zinc finger domain-containing protein 10-like, transcript variant X2
Source: RNAcentral
UACCAACGGCAAAUACAAAUGCAGGUGUGGAAGAUCUUACGCUACUGAUGGAAAUUUGCAAAUAAAGAAUUACUCUAUUCCAAUCAACUGCCAACCAACAUAAGGAGAAAAUGCAAGGAAACCCUGAGAUGUUGC